RNAcentral lists this ribosomal RNA (463 nucleotides) under uncultured bacterium. RNAcentral's name for it is "partial 16S ribosomal RNA". It matches the Rfam family "Bacterial small subunit ribosomal RNA", at positions 28 to 507 of the family's 1533-position model. The record is from RNAcentral.
GACGAACGCUGGCGGCGUGCUUAACACAUGCAAGUCGAACGGUGAACCUCUUCGGUGGGGUUCAGUGGCGAACGGGUGAGUGACACGUGGGCAACCGGCCCCCGGCUCUGUGAUAACUCCAAGACAUUGGGGCUAAUACCGGAUUUUCACCUCUUCCCUCAUGCGGGGUGGUGGAAAGGGUUUCCGGCGUGGGAUGGGCCCGUGGCCUAUCAGCUGGUCGGUGGAGUAGUGGCCUACCAGGGCGACGACGGGUAGCCGGCCUGGGAGGGUGACCGGCCACCAUGGGCCUGAGACACGGACCAGACUCCUACGGGAGGCAGCAGUGGGGAGUAUUGCGCAAUGGGCGGACGCCUGACGCAGAGACGCCGCGUGGGGGAUGACGGCCUUCGGGUUGUAAACAUCUUUCAGCAGGGACGAAGAGCAAGUGACGGUACCUGCAGAAGAAGCACCGGCCAACUACGUG